GAAUUCGAUUGGAAGUAAAAGUCGUAACAAGGUUUCCGUAGGUGAACCUGCGGAAGGAUCAUUAACAGAGCAAAUAAAUGCUACCGAAGCAAGAGGGCUAUCUAGCUCUCGGCGUGGUCCCCGAGGGACGCAGACCCGGCCGAGCCCUGUAGCUCAGGCGGGUGCUGAGACCUGCCGGUCUCGAUGGCGUGGGCAAUCGCUUCGGCGUCCCACUGGUGCGCGUUCAGGCGGGGAACUUUGUCUCCCAGUUCGACGCCGAGCCUUGUCGCUCAGGCGGUUGCUGAGACUUGUCGGUCUCGAUGGCGUGGGCAAUCGCUUCGGCGUCCCACUGGUGCGCGUUCAGGCGGGGAGCUUCGUCUCCCCGUUCGACGCCGAGCCUUGUCGCUCAGGCGGUUGCUGAGACCUGUCGGUCUCGAUGGCGUGGGCAAUCGCUUCGGCGUCCCACUGGUGCGCGUUCAGGCGGGGAGCUUUGUCUCCCCGUUCGACGCCGAGCCCUGUAGCUCCGGCGGUUGGUGAGACCUCUCGGUCUCGAUGGCGUGGGCAUCGCUUCGGCGUCCCGCAGGUGCGAGCACAGGAGGGGAGCUACGUCUGCCCGUUCCGUUUUCUGCUAAGCACGGUUCUCCGUGCCGAUGGAGAGAGCUUCGCCGUUCGUGCGUCUCUCGCUCUAGUCGUUCGGCUUGGGUACCUAUCCCGCCUCCUUGCGGGGAGACCCGCUGGGAACCGGCUUCUAGGCCGGCAACCGGCCGGGAGGUUUUAAAUGAAUGUCGCCCAUUCACGAACAGCAAUGUUUUGUUUUCGCUUGUGACGAUACCCUUGUGACGCAAGGCCCUGUCGCGAGGCAGGUGCAUGCAAUGAAAGAACAACCCUGAACGGUGGAUCACUCGGCUCGUGGGUCGAUGAAGAACGCAGCAAAUUGCGCGUCGACAUGUGAACUGCAGGACACAUGAACAUCGACAUUUCGAACGCACAUUGCGGUCCAUGGAUUCCGUUCCCGGACCACGCCUGGCUGAGGGUCGGUAGCUAAAACUGAGCGCUGUUCGCGUUCGAUGGUGGGAGCAUCGCGGUUCGUGCGGCUUCGGCCGCCGCUGCGUCUCCUGAAAUGAGCUCCGCUGUCGGAGCUGGACCUGUCACGUACGGACUGAGAGCACGUCGACGGUGGUCCGCGCAACGUCUUGGUGAGCUAGCGCAGGUCGCCCCGGAGGCCGAUGCUCCCGUGACGAGAAACAGUUGCCACCACGACCUCAGAGCAGGCGAGACUACCCGCUGAAUUUAA
RNAcentral lists this ribosomal RNA (1273 nucleotides) under Saga ephippigera. RNAcentral's name for it is "eukaryotic LSU rRNA". The stretch from base 862 to 1016 matches the Rfam family "5.8S ribosomal RNA". Lineage: Eukaryota; Metazoa; Arthropoda; Insecta; Orthoptera; Tettigoniidae. The record is from RNAcentral.